AACGCUGGCGGCAGCCUAAACAUGCAAGUCGAACGCUUGUCCGGCUUCGGCCGGACGGGAGUGGCGCACGGGUGAGUAGCGCGUGGGAACCUGCCCUGUUGUGGGGGAUAACCGAGGGAAACUUCGGCUAAUACCGCAUGAGCCCCGGAGCAAUUUGGGGGAAAGAUUUAUCGCAACAGGAGGGGCCCGCGUCGGAUUAGGUAGUUGGUAGGGUAACGGCCUACCAAGCCUGUGAUCCGUAGCUGGUCUGAGAGGAUGAUCAGCCACGCUGGGACUGAGACACGGCCCAGACUCCUACGGGAGGCAGCAGUGGGGAGUAUUGGACAAUGGGCGCAAGCCUGAUCCAGCAAUGCCGCGUGAGUGAUGAAGGCCUUAGGGUUGUAAAGCUCUUUCGCCCGCGACGAUGAUGACGGUAGCGGGAGAAGAAGCCCCGGCUAACUUCGUGCCAGCAGCCGCGGUAAUACGAAGGGGGCGAGCGUUGUUCGGAUUUACUGGGCGUAAAGGGCGCGUANGCGGCCCUCCUUGUCGCGUGUGAAAGCCCC
RNAcentral lists this ribosomal RNA (542 nucleotides) under uncultured bacterium. RNAcentral's name for it is "bacterial SSU rRNA". It matches the Rfam family "Bacterial small subunit ribosomal RNA", at positions 32 to 604 of the family's 1533-position model. The record is from RNAcentral.